Numida meleagris (helmeted guineafowl) is the source of this 2154-nucleotide long non-coding RNA. Lineage: Eukaryota; Metazoa; Chordata; Aves; Galliformes; Numididae. The record is from Ensembl.
AUGCACACCAGCCAGGCAGGAGGAGCAAAACUCACACACCCACGCCAGCCAGCUAGCCUGCUGGAGUGCCACUCACUCACCCACGCCAGAAAACCAGCAGGAACACCACACACCCACCCACGCCAGCCAGCCAGGAGGGGCAUCACUCACCGACAUAUGCCAGCUAGCCAGCCAUCUGGAGCACCACUCACCCACCCACGCACACCAGCCAGCCAGCCGGAGCACCACUCACCCACCCACGCACGCCAGCCAGCGAGCCGCAGCACCACUCACCCACCCACGCACGCCAGCCAGCAGGAGCACCACUCACCCACGCACGCCAGUCAGCCAGCCAGCAGGAGCACCACUCAUCCACAAUCCAGCCAGACAGCCAGCUGGAGCACAACUCACCCACCCACGCACGCCAGCCAGCGAGCCGGAGCACCACUCACCCACCCACGCAUGCCAGCCAGCCGGAGCACCACUCACCCACGCACACCAGCCAGCCAGCAGGAGCACUACUCACCCAACCACGCACGCGAGCCAGCAGGAGCACAACUCACCCACCCAUGCCAGCCAGCCAGCCUGCAGGAGCACCACUCAGCCACGCACGCCAGUCAGCCAGACAGCCAGAGCAGCACUCACUCACCCACACCAGCCAUCGAGCCAGCCAGAGCGCCACUCACCUACGCAUACACGCCAACCAGCCAGCCAGCCGAAGCACCACUCACAUAUGCAUGCCACCCAUGGCAGCCAGCCGGACCACCACUCACCCACCAACGCCACCCAGCCUGCCAGCCGGAGCACCACUCACUCACCCACCCACGCCAAGCCAGCCAGACUGCCACAAGGACCACCACUCACCCAUCCAUGCACGCCAGCCAGCAGGAGCACCACUCACCCACCCACGUACGGCAGCCAGCCAUCCAGACGGAGCACCACUCACCCACGUACGGCAGCCAGCCAUCCAUACGGAGCACCACACACUCACGUACGCCAGUUAGCCAGCCAGCCGGAGCACCACUGACCACGCACGCAAGCCAGCCAGCGAGCCGGAGCACAACUCACCUACGCACACACACCAGCCAGCCAGCAGGAGCACCACUCACCCACCCACGCCCUCCAGCCAGCCAGCCGGAGCACCACUCACUCAGCCACGCCAGCCAUCGAGCCAGCAAGAGCCCCACUCACCUACCCACCCACGCCAGCCAGCUGGCCAGCCGGAGCACCACACACCCAAACACGCCAGCCAGCCAGGAGGGCUCACUCACCCACCCACGCCACCCACGCCAGCCAGCCGGAGCACCACUCACUCACCUACGCCAGCCAUCGAGCCAGCCAGAGCGCCACUCACCUACGCAUACACGCCAACCAGCCAGCCAGCCGGAGCACCACUCACCCACGCACGCCACCCACGGCAGCCAGCCGGACCACCACUCACCCACCCACGCCACCCAGCCAGCCAGCCGGAGCACCACUCACUUACACACCCACGCCAGCCAGCCAGCCAGCCGGAGCACCACUCACCCACCCACGCACGCCAGCAAGCCAGCCGGAGCACCACUCACCCAUCCAUGCACACCAGCCAGCAGGAGCACCACUCACCUACCCACGUACGCCAGCCAGCCAUCCAGACGGAGCACCACUCACUCACGUACGCCAGCCAGCCAGCGAGCCGGAGCACCACUGACCACGCACGCAAGCCAGCCAGCCAGCAGGAGCACCACUCACCCACCCACGCACGCCAUCCAGACGGAGCACCACUCACCCACCCACGCACGCCAGCCAGCCAGCCGGAGCACCACUCACUCAGCCACGCCAGCCAUCGAGCCAGCCAGAGCCCCACUCACCUACCCACCCACGCCAGCCAGCCAGCCAGCCAGAGCACCACUCACCCACCCACGCACGCCAGCCAGCCAGCCGGAGCACCAUUCACCCAGACAUGCCAGCCAGCCAGCCAGCAGGAGCACCACUCACUUACACACCCACGCCAGCCAGCCAGCUGGAGCACAACUCACCUAUGUACCCACGCGAGCCAGACUGCCACAAAAAGCACCACUCACCCACCCAAGACAGCCAGCUGGUUUAGCACUCACUCACCCAAGCCAGGCAUCGAGCCAGCCGGAGCGCCACUCACCCACCCACGCACGCCAGCCAGCCAGCAAGCCGGAGUAG